UUUAAUGAGAGUUUGAUCCUGGCUCAGGACGAACGCUGGCGGCGUGCCUAAUACAUGCAAGUAGAACGCUGAAGUCUGGUGCUUGCACUAGACGGAUGAGUUGCGAACGGGUGAGUAACGCGUAGGUAACCUGCCUCAUAGCGGGGGAUAACUAUUGGAAACGAUAGCUAAUACCGCAUAACAGUAUUUACCGCAUGGUAGAUGCUUGAAAGGAGCAAUUGCUUCACUAUGAGAUGGACCUGCGUUGUAUUAGCUAGUUGGUGAGGUAACGGCUCACCAAGGCAUCGAUACAUAGCCGACCUGAGAGGGUGAUCGGCCACACUGGGACUGA
This 331-nucleotide ribosomal RNA is filed under the name Streptococcus suis. Its description in RNAcentral is "bacterial SSU rRNA". It matches the Rfam family "Bacterial small subunit ribosomal RNA", at positions 1 to 322 of the family's 1533-position model. The record is from RNAcentral. Lineage: Bacteria; Bacillati; Bacillota; Bacilli; Lactobacillales; Streptococcaceae.